GCAAGCAUUUUCCUUUAAAGAUUUGGUGGAUUAUUUUCACAUAAAAAAAAAACACCAUGAUUUAUAGAAGGAAAGGUUGAGAAAAUAAUCAAAGAAAAGGUUAGAAAAGAGUGACAAGCUAUUUUAUAUAAGGACCAAAUUAUAAUAUUAAUGAAAUACAGGGAUUAAAAUACAGUUGACCCAUCUUGGGGGACAAUAACAAAUGACGGUAGCAUCAAGGUGGAUUCUGGUUGUUCUUUAUUUGAACGGUGGGGAUUUUAGCUAUAGGGUGGAAGAUUUUAAGCUAACAGUUGUCUAAUGUGGGUCCCAUUAUCUAUUUUAUGAGUGUUUUAAUUUCUUCCAUGUGUUUAGCCUUAUGUUAUUUGCCAAGCAC
Populus euphratica (Euphrates poplar) is the source of this 373-nucleotide long non-coding RNA. RefSeq lists it as uncharacterized. The record is from RefSeq and is a predicted model, not a curated record. NCBI's taxonomy places the organism in Eukaryota, Viridiplantae, Streptophyta, Magnoliopsida, Malpighiales, Salicaceae. The transcript is spliced from 3 exons.